RNAcentral lists this ribosomal RNA (433 nucleotides) under uncultured bacterium. RNAcentral's name for it is "bacterial SSU rRNA". It matches the Rfam family "Bacterial small subunit ribosomal RNA", at positions 355 to 786 of the family's 1533-position model. The record is from RNAcentral.
UGAGGAAUAUUGGUCAAUGGGCGGGAGCCUGAACCAGCCAAGCCGCGUGAGGGAGGAAGGCCCUAUGGGUCGUAAACCUCUUUUGUCAGGGAACAAAAGCGAAUAUGUAUACUAGUCUGAGUGUACCUGAAGAAAAAGCAUCGGCUAACUCCGUGCCAGCAGCCGCGGUAAUACGGAGGAUGCGAGCGUUAUCCGGAUUUAUUGGGUUUAAAGGGUGCGUAGGCGGCGGUGCAAGUCAGCGGUAAAAGCCCGGGGCUCAACCCCGGCGAGCCGUUGAAACUGCAGUGCUAGAGAAGGUGAGAGGUACGCGGAAUGCGCAGUGUAGCGGUGAAAUGCUUAGAUAUUGCGCAGAACUCCGAUUGCGAAGGCAGCGUACUGGCGCCUGACUGACGCUGAGGCACGAAAGCGUGGGGAUCGAACAGGAUUAGAUACC